RNAcentral lists this ribosomal RNA (493 nucleotides) under uncultured bacterium. RNAcentral describes it as "partial 16S ribosomal RNA". It matches the Rfam family "Bacterial small subunit ribosomal RNA", at positions 29 to 523 of the family's 1533-position model. The record is from RNAcentral.
AUUGAACGCUGGCGGCAUGCUUUACACAUGCAAGUCGAACGGUAACAGGUUAAGCUGACGAGUGGCGAACGGGUGAGUAAUGCACCGGAACGUGCCCGGUCGUGGGGGAUAACGCAGCGAAAGCUGCGCUAAUACCGCAUACGAUCUAAGGAUGAAAGCGGGGGACCGUAAGGCCUCGCGCGAUCGGAGCGGCCGAUGUCAGAUUAGGUAGUUGGUGGGGUAAAGGCUCACCAAGCCAACGGUCUGUAGCUGGUCUGAGAGGACGACCAGCCACACUGGGACUGAGACACGGCCCAGACUCCUACGGGAGGCAGCAGUGGGGAAUUUUGGACAAUGGGCGAAAGCCUGAUCCAGCAAUGCCGCGUGCAGGAAGAAGGCCUUCGGGUUGUAAACUGCUUUUGUACGGAGCGAAAAGGUCUCCUCUAAUACAGGGGGCUCAUGACGGUACCGUAAGAAUAAGCACCGGCUAACUACGUGCCAGCCGCCGCCGUAA